RNAcentral lists this ribosomal RNA (439 nucleotides) under uncultured bacterium. RNAcentral describes it as "partial 16S ribosomal RNA". It matches the Rfam family "Bacterial small subunit ribosomal RNA", at positions 339 to 795 of the family's 1533-position model. The record is from RNAcentral.
CUACGGGUGGCUCCAGUGGGGAAUAUUGCACAAUGGAGGGAACUCUGAUGCAGCAACGCCGCGUGGAGGAUGACACAUUUCGGUGCGUAAACUCCUUUUAUAUAAGAAGAUAAUGACGGUAUUAUAUGAAUAAGCACCGGCUAACUCCGUGCCAGCAGCCGCGGUAAUACGGGGGGUGCAAGCGUUACUCGGAAUCACUGGGCGUAAAGAGCAUGUAGGCUGGUUUGUAAGUUGGAAGUGAAAUCCUAUGGCUUAACCAUAGAACUGCUUCCAAAACUACUUACCUAGAGUAUGGGAGAGGUAGAUGGAAUUUCUGGUGUAGGGGUAAAAUCCGUAGAGAUCAGAAGGAAUACCGAUUGCGAAGGCGAUCUACUGGAACAUUACUGACGCUCAGAUGCGAAAGCGUGGGGAGCAAACAGGAUUAGAUACCCCAGUAGUC